CUACGUGCCAGCAGCCGCGGUAAUACGGAAGGUCCAGGCGUUAUCCGGAUUUAUUGGGUUUAAAGGGAGCGUAGGCUGGAGAUUAAGUGUGUUGUGAAAUGUAGACGCUCAACGUCUGAAUUGCAGCGCAUACUGGUUUCCUUGAGUACGCACAACGUUGGCGGAAUUCGUCGUGUAGCGGUGAAAUGCUUAGAUAUGACGAAGAACUCCGAUUGCGAAGGCAGCUGACGGGAGCGCAACUGACGCUGAAGCUCGAAGGUGCGGGUAUCGAACAGGAUUAGAUACCCUGGUAGUCCGCACAGUAAACGAUGGAUGCCCGCUGUUGGUACCUGGUAUCAGCGGCUAAGCGAAAGCAUUAAGCAUCCCACCUGGGGAGUACGCCGGCAACGGUGAAACUCAAAGGAAUUGACGGGGGCCCGCACAAGCGGAGGAACAUGUGGUUUAAUUCGAUGAUACGCGAGGAACCUUACCCGGGCUUGA
Molecule: ribosomal RNA, 480 nt
Filed under: uncultured bacterium
Lineage: Bacteria
Description: bacterial SSU rRNA
Rfam family: Bacterial small subunit ribosomal RNA
Source: RNAcentral